Molecule: ribosomal RNA, 348 nt
Filed under: uncultured bacterium
Lineage: Bacteria
Description: bacterial SSU rRNA
Rfam family: Bacterial small subunit ribosomal RNA
Source: RNAcentral
GGGCCCGCACAAGCGGUGGAGUAUGUGGUUUAAUUCGAUGCAACGCGAAGAACCUUACCAGGGUUUGACAUCCUGCGAAUCUCUUGGAAACAGGAGAGUGCCUUCGGGAACGCAGUGACAGGUGGUGCAUGGCUGUCGUCAGCUCGUGUCGUGAGAUGUUGGGUUAAGUCCCGCAACGAGCGCAACCCACGUCUUUAGUUGCCAGCAGUUCGGCUGGGCACUCUAUGGAAACUGCCCGUGAUAAGCGGGAGGAAGGUGUGGAUGACGUCAAGUCCUCAUGGCCCUUACGGGUUGGGCUACACACGUGCUACAAUGGUAGUGACAAUGGGUUAAUCCCAAAAUGCUAUC